This 1451-nucleotide ribosomal RNA is filed under the name uncultured Bordetella sp. RNAcentral describes it as "partial 16S-23S ribosomal RNA intergenic spacer". It matches the Rfam family "Bacterial small subunit ribosomal RNA". The record is from RNAcentral. Lineage: Bacteria; Pseudomonadati; Pseudomonadota; Betaproteobacteria; Burkholderiales; Alcaligenaceae.
GGUUUUUCCGAUCAGUGUUCAGAUUGAACGUCAUGACGCUUCAUACAUGCAAGUCGAACGGCAGCACGGACUCCCUGGUCUGGUGGUGAGGGGGAAGAACGGGUGAUAAUGUAUCGGAACGUGCCUAGUAGUGGGGAUAACUACGCGAAAAGAAGGCAUUACUGCAUACGCCCUUCGGGGAAAGGGGGACCCGGGCCUGCAUUAGAGCGGGCUGAUAUCGGAUUAGCUAGUUAGUGGGGUAACGGUCACCGUAGCGACGAUCCGGUAGCUGGUUUCCGAGGACGACCAGCCACACUGACUGAGAGAUGCGCCCAGACUUCCUACGGAGGCGCAGCAGUGGGAAUGGAUAAUGGGGAAACUCUGAUCCAGCCAUCUCUGGCGUAAAGUGAUGAAGUACUCGGGUUGUAAAAGCACUUUGGCAGGAAAGAAACGGCACGGAUAAUACCCUUGUGCAACUGACAUCAGAAUAAGCACCGGCUAACUACGCGCCGCCGCAGCCGCGGUACGUAGGGUGCAAGUGAAAGACCGUGGAAUUAUUAUGCAAAAGUGCGUAAGGUGUCUGGAAAGAAAGAUGUGAAACUCUAGAGCUUAACUUUCUUGAACUGCAUUUUUAACUACCGAGCUAGAGUGUCGAGGGAGGUGGAAUUCCGCGUAGCAGUGAAACGCAGAUAUGCGAGGAACACCGAUGGCGAAGGUCUUCCCGGGAUAACACUGACGCUCAGGAUCGAAAGGUGGGGAUAAAACAGGAUUGUGAUAAUUCGGUAGUCCACGCCCCAAACGAUGUCAACUAGUUGCUAGCCUUGGCCUUUGGUAGCGUAGCCAACGCGUGAAGUUGACCGCCUGGGGAGGCAAGGGCUUAUGAUUAAACCCGCGACUGACGGGGACUCGUAAUGCUGGUGACGAUGUGGAUUAAUUGAUGCAAACGCUGAAAACUCACCUACCCUUGACAUGUCUAAAUCCCGAAGAGAUUUGGGAGCGUUUGUAAGAGAACUUCGGAACAAUAAGGUGCCAUGGUUGUUGCCGCUUGAAGUCGUGAGAUGUUGGGUUAAGUCCCGCAACGAGCGCACUCCUUGUCAUUAGUUGCUACGAAACAAGCACUCUAAUGAGACUGCCAGAUAAACUGAGGAAGGUGAUGACGUCAAGUCCUCAUGGCCCCUAUUAAGUGCGGGUGGGGGCUUUCACGCCAUACAAUGGUCGGGACAGAGGGUCGCCAACCUGCGGAGCUAAUCCUAGAAACCUGAUCGUAGUCCGACUGCAGGGCCCGCAACUCGACUGCGUGAAGUCGGAAUCGCCAGUAAUCAGAUCAGCAUGCCGUGGUGAAUACGUUCCGGGCCUUGCGGGCCGACACCGCCCGUCACACCAUGGGAGUGGGUUUUACCAGAAGAAGAGAUCGAACUGUAAGAGGCGAUUACCACGGCAGAUCUUAUGAUUGUAGCGUCAGCAAUGGCAGA